GCCUGGGUGGCUCAGUCGGUGGAGCGUCUGACUUCGGCUCGGGUCAUGAUCUCACAGCUCUGUGGGUUCGAGCCCCACCUCGGACU
This 86-nucleotide transfer RNA is filed under the name Felis catus (domestic cat). It matches the Rfam family "tRNA". Rfam says of the family: Transfer RNA (tRNA) molecules are approximately 80 nucleotides in length. Their secondary structure includes four short double-helical elements and three loops (D, anti-codon, and T loops). The record is from Rfam by way of RNAcentral. Lineage: Eukaryota; Metazoa; Chordata; Mammalia; Carnivora; Felidae.